This is a long non-coding RNA of Mercenaria mercenaria, 559 nucleotides long. RefSeq lists it as uncharacterized. The record is from RefSeq and is a predicted model, not a curated record. The transcript has 4 exons. Lineage: Eukaryota; Metazoa; Mollusca; Bivalvia; Venerida; Veneridae.
UCAGCAAGGAGCGAGAGUAAUGGCUUUCUGCGCGCCGAAGUAUUUCUGUGGAAUAAAAUCGUUUUCUUGUGUUUGCAGAUGGAGGGAGCAGAAAAAUCUUUAUGACAAAAUACGUCGCAGAAUGUCUGCAAUUGAAAACUACCAAGGACUGACUCGGAUGGCAUAUAUAGGAGCCGAAAUCUGCAUGCAGAUCGCACUGUGAUGUGAUUUGUACAGGCCAAGAUGUUAAAAGUUUUACAAGCAUAUUGAAGUGGUGUGUGACAGAUUUUCAACAGCAAAAUUUUGGAGACAAAAUAAGAGCAUUAUUGUGAAGUGGUGAUUUGUCAAAGAUGUUACAGCAGUGGUGUGUGACAAAAUUUCUUACAGCAGAGUUAUGGAAAGAUAACCAGGCAGCUACAGCAGAGACCAGAUGCAAAUGACAGAGUUCAAAGUGAUGGGUGCUUUUUGAUGAAACAAGCGAUGGAAUUUUUACCAUUCAAAAUAAUGGACUCUGAUGUAUUUCAUAUUUGCAUGUAUUGUGUGUAUAAUGAAAUUUGCCCGUAAAAGAGGCACACUAUUG